CCUACGGGCGGCUGCAGUGGGGAAUCUUGGGCCAUGGGCGCAAGCCUGACCCAGCAACGCCGCGUGAAGGAAGCAGGCUUUCGGGUUGUAAACUUCUUUUAAGGGGGAGGAGCAGAAGACGUUACCCCUUGAAUAAGCCACGGCUAACUCCGUGCCAACCGCCGCGGUAAUCCGGAGGUGGCCAGCGUUGUCCGGAUUUACUGGGUGUAAAGGGCGUGCAGCCGGCGAGACAAGUCCGAUGUGAAAUCCACGGGCUCAACCCGUGAACUGCAUUGGAAACUGUGUCCCUUGAGUGUCGGAGAGGUAAUCGGAAUGCCUAGUGUAGCGGUGAAAUGCGUAGAUAUAAGGAAGAACACCAGUGGCGAAGGCGGAUUACUGGACGAUAACUGACGGUGAGGCGCGAAAGCGUGGGGAGCAAACAGGAUUAGAUACCCCUGUAGUC
This 442-nucleotide ribosomal RNA is filed under the name uncultured bacterium. RNAcentral's name for it is "partial 16S ribosomal RNA". It matches the Rfam family "Bacterial small subunit ribosomal RNA", at positions 338 to 795 of the family's 1533-position model. The record is from RNAcentral.